RNAcentral lists this ribosomal RNA (403 nucleotides) under uncultured bacterium. RNAcentral describes it as "partial 16S ribosomal RNA". It matches the Rfam family "Bacterial small subunit ribosomal RNA", at positions 28 to 526 of the family's 1533-position model. The record is from RNAcentral.
GACGAACGCUGGCGGCGUGCCUAAUACAUGCAAGUCGAACGCAGUUGGGACGGGUGAGUAACACGUGGGUAACCUCCCAUCAGAGGGGAUAACACUUGGAAACAGGUGCUAAACCGAUACUGAUGGAUGAACCCGGGGUGGAUUAGCUAGUUGGUGAGGGAACGGCUCACCAAGGCGACGAUGCAUAGCCGGCCUGAGAGGAUGAUCAGCCACACUGGUACUGAGACACGGCCCAGACUCCUACGGGAGGCAGCAGUAGGGAAUCUUCGGCAAUGGGCGAAAGUCUGACCGAGCAACGCCGCGUGAGUGAAGAAGGUUUUCGGAUCGUAAAGCUCUGUUGUUAGAGAAGCGGUAUCUAACCAGAAAGCAACGGCUAACUACGUGCCAGCAGCCGCGGUAAUAC